GGAAGGAUCAUUAUCGAGUGCGACCCCCCCGUAAAAUAGGGGGUACCUCCCGUCCUUUGCUGGGUCCCCCAACUUUUGAGGGACUUUUCAAACCUUCUGCUUCGGCGGGGUUAUCCCCGCCGGAACAACCUCAAAAAUUCUCGUUCAACUGUUCAGUCCGAGAAAAAUUUUAAAAAGCGAACAACUUUCAACAACGGAUCUCUUGGUUCUGGCAUCGAUGAAGAACGCAGCGAAAUGCGAUAAGUAAUGUGAAUUGCAGAAUUCAGUGAAUCAUCGAAUCUUUGAACGCAUAUUGCGCCCCUUGGUAUUCCGGGGGGCACACCUGUUCGAGCGCCAUUUCGACCCUCAAGCAUGGCUUGGUGUUGGGUAAGGUCCUAGGGGGACCAGCCCGUAACUUGUAGGCGGCUACCGCCCGCGCCCUCAGCGUAGCAGGCUCACGCACUCGCUCGGGGACGGUUCGCGUGGCGCGCCCACUAAAUUUUCAAGGUUUGGCCUCGGAUCAGGUGGGGAUACCCGCUGAACUUAAGCAUAUCAAUAAGCGGAGGAAAAGAAACCAACAGGGAUUGCCCCAGUAACGGCGAGUGAAGCGGCAAUUGCUCAAAUUUGAAAUCUGGCUCCCUUGGGGUCCGAAUUGUAAUUUGCAGAGGAAGCUUCGGUGAAGAUGCUAGCUCAAGUCCCCUGGAACGGGACGUCAUAGAGGGUGAGAACCCCGUCCGGCCAUGCGUCUGAACCAUGUGUUGCUCCUUCGACGAGUCGAGUUGUUUGGGAAUGCAGCUCAAAAUGGGUGGUAAAUUCCAUCUAAGGCUAAAUACUGGCCAGAGACCGAUAGCGCACAAGUAGAGUGAUCGAAAGAUGAAAAGCACUUUGAAAAGAGAGUUAAAAAGCACGUGAAAUUGUUGAAAGGGAAGCGCUUGCGGCCAGACCCUUUCGUAGUUGUUCAACCGGUCUAUCGGCCGGCUCAAUCUUCUACGUUAGGGCCAGCAUCGGUUUAGGUGGUUGGAUAAAGGCCCUAGGAAUGUGGCCCUUUGGGGUGUUAUAGCCUUGGGUAAAAUGCGACCUGUCUAGACCGAGGGAAGCGAUUUUCCAGGAUGUUGGCAUAAUGGUUGCAAGCGGCCCGUCUUGAAACACGGACCAAGGAGUCUAACAUUCACGCGAGUGUUUGGGUAUAAAACCCGUACGCGAAAUGAAAGUGAACGGAGGUGGGAACUCUUUAGAGUGCACCAUCGACCGAUCCUGAUGUUUUCGGAAGGAUUUGAGUAAGAGCGUGACUGUUGGGACCCGAAAGAUGGUGAACUAUGCGUGAAUAGAAUGAAGCCAGAGGAAACUCUGGUGGAAGUUCGCAGCGGUUCUGACGUGCAAAUCGAUCGUCAAAUUUGCGUAUGGGGGCGAAAGACGUGAGUAUUUAUUAACAAAAAUUUUAUUUAAUGAGAAUGUAUACUAAUGUUUGAAUAGUAAUCGAACCAUCUAGUAGCUGGUUCCUGC
This 1482-nucleotide unclassified non-coding RNA is filed under the name uncultured fungus. Its description in RNAcentral is "sequence contains 18S rRNA gene, ITS1, 5.8S rRNA gene, ITS2, 28S rRNA gene". The stretch from base 490 to 1482 matches the Rfam family "Eukaryotic large subunit ribosomal RNA", at positions 1 to 961 of the family's 3401-position model. The record is from RNAcentral. Lineage: Eukaryota; Fungi.